AUUUUUUAAAUACACCCCCCGUAUAUUCAAUUUCCAAUUGAAAAGAAGUAAAAAAUA
RNAcentral lists this transfer RNA (57 nucleotides) under Panonychus ulmi (European red spider mite). Its description in RNAcentral is "tRNA-Gly". The record is from RNAcentral. Lineage: Eukaryota; Metazoa; Arthropoda; Arachnida; Trombidiformes; Tetranychidae.